GGUAAUGGUGAAAGUUCGCCUAUCAUUACGCCCACCAGAAAAGAAGGAUUUUGGAUAAAUUUCAAUUCGGACGUAUUGAUAUAGCGAAAAAUGCCAGCGCUGAUUCAAAAGACCCAGGCGUUCAUUGUGUGUCGUAUAAAAAAAAAUCAGAUCUUGUUGAAAUAAUGGAAGCGAAAAAGGUUCCAGGUCACCUAAUU
Bradysia coprophila is the source of this 197-nucleotide long non-coding RNA. RefSeq lists it as uncharacterized. Lineage: Eukaryota; Metazoa; Arthropoda; Insecta; Diptera; Sciaridae. The record is from RefSeq and is a predicted model, not a curated record.